Non-coding RNA from Podarcis lilfordi (Lilford's wall lizard), 73 nucleotides. The record is from the annotation of a GenBank genome assembly. Lineage: Eukaryota; Metazoa; Chordata; Lepidosauria; Squamata; Lacertidae.
GCUGGGAUAGCUCAGUUGGUAGAGCGUGAGAAUAUUAAUCUCAGGGUCAUGGGUUCAAGCCCCACAUUGGGCA